AGCCAUGCCGCGUGCAGGAUGACGGUCCUAUGGAUUGUAAACUGCUUUUGUACAGGAAGAAACAGUUCUACGUGUAGAACCUUGACGGUACUGUAAGAAUAAGGAUCGGCUAACUCCGUGCCAGCAGCCGCGGUAAUACGGAGGAUCCAAGCGUUAUCCGGAAUCAUUGGGUUUAAAGGGUCCGUAGGCGGUCUAAUAAGUCAGUGGUGAAAGCCCAUCGCUCAACGGUGGAACGGCCAUUGAUACUGUCUGACUUGAAUUAUUAGGAAGUAACUAGAAUAUGUAGUGUAGCGGUGAAAUGCUUAGAGAUUACAUGGAAUACCAAUUGCGAAGGCAGGUUACUACUAAUUGAUUGACGCUGAUGGACGAAAGCGUGGGUAGCGAACAGGAUU
RNAcentral lists this ribosomal RNA (392 nucleotides) under uncultured bacterium. RNAcentral's name for it is "bacterial SSU rRNA". It matches the Rfam family "Bacterial small subunit ribosomal RNA", at positions 390 to 779 of the family's 1533-position model. The record is from RNAcentral.